This is a small nuclear RNA of Protopterus annectens (West African lungfish), 128 nucleotides long. The record is from RefSeq and is a predicted model, not a curated record. NCBI's taxonomy places the organism in Eukaryota, Metazoa, Chordata, Ceratodontiformes, Protopteridae.
GUGAUAUAUGAAAGGAGAGAAGGUUAUCACUUCCCUUGAUAAGGAUGGAAGACAUCCUUGUGGUCUUUACAAUACAUGUAUAGUUAGGGCAUUGCCACUUACUUUGUGGCAUUUAGCCACCAUUUUAC